RNAcentral lists this ribosomal RNA (730 nucleotides) under Bacillus pumilus. RNAcentral's name for it is "bacterial SSU rRNA". It matches the Rfam family "Bacterial small subunit ribosomal RNA", at positions 63 to 776 of the family's 1533-position model. Lineage: Bacteria; Bacillati; Bacillota; Bacilli; Caryophanales; Bacillaceae. The record is from RNAcentral.
CGAGCGGACAGAAGGGAGCUUGCUCCCGGAUGUUAGCGGCGGACGGGUGAGUAACACGUGGGUAACCUGCCUGUAAGACUGGGAUAACUCCGGGAAACCGGAGCUAAUACCGGAUAGUUCCUUGAACCGCAUGGUUCAAGGAUGAAAGACGGUUUCGGCUGUCACUUACAGAUGGACCCGCGGCGCAUUAGCUAGUUGGUGAGGUAACGGCUCACCAAGGCGACGAUGCGUAGCCGACCUGAGAGGGUGAUCGGCCACACUGGGACUGAGACACGGCCCAGACUCCUACGGGAGGCAGCAGUAGGGAAUCUUCCGCAAUGGACGAAAGUCUGACGGAGCAACGCCGCGUGAGUGAUGAAGGUUUUCGGAUCGUAAAGCUCUGUUGUUAGGGAAGAACAAGUGCAAGAGUAACUGCUUGCACCUUGACGGUACCUAACCAGAAAGCCACGGCUAACUACGUGCCAGCAGCCGCGGUAAUACGUAGGUGGCAAGCGUUGUCCGGAAUUAUUGGGCGUAAAGGGCUCGCAGGCGGUUUCUUAAGUCUGAUGUGAAAGCCCCCGGCUCAACCGGGGAGGGUCAUUGGAAACUGGGAAACUUGAGUGCAGAAGAGGAGAGUGGAAUUCCACGUGUAGCGGUGAAAUGCGUAGAGAUGUGGAGGAACACCAGUGGCGAAGGCGACUCUCUGGUCUGUAACUGACGCUGAGGAGCGAAAGCGUGGGCAGCGAACAGC